RNAcentral lists this ribosomal RNA (428 nucleotides) under Mesalina pasteuri (Pasteur's lizard). RNAcentral describes it as "partial 16S ribosomal RNA". It matches the Rfam family "Bacterial large subunit ribosomal RNA", at positions 1966 to 2600 of the family's 2925-position model. Lineage: Eukaryota; Metazoa; Chordata; Lepidosauria; Squamata; Lacertidae. The record is from RNAcentral.
CACUUGUCCCCUAAAUAGGGACUGGUAUGAACGGCUAAAUGAGGAUUAAACUGUCUCUUGUAAUUAACCUAUGAAACUGAUCUUGUAGUCCAAAAGCUACAAUAUAAACACUAGACGAGAAGACCCUGUGGAGCUUUUAAACCAAAACCAAAUAUAUGCCCUCUUGGUUUUUAGUUGGGGCAACUUCGGAGUACAAACAAACCUCCGACAAACAACAAAUCAAGACAAACAAGUCAAAACCUACACUUGACCCAAUAGUUUUAUCUAAACUAUUUGACCAAUGAACCAAGUUACCCCAGGGAUAACAGCGCUAUCCUCUUUUAGAGUCCCUAUCGACAAGAGGGCUUACGACCUCGAUGUUGGAUCAGGACACCCCAAUAAUGCAGCCGUUAUUAAAGGUUCGUUUGUUCAACGAUUAAAGUCCUACG